CCGCGGCUGCUGGCACGGAGUUAGCCGGUGCUUCUUCUGCGAGUAACGUCAAUCGCCAAGGUUAUUAACCUUAACGCCUUCCUCCUCGCUGAAAGUACUUUACAACCCGAAGGCCUUCUUCAUACACGCGGCAUGGCUGCAUCAGGCUUGCGCCCAUUGUGCAAUAUUCCCCACUGCUGCCUCCCGUAGGAG
This 192-nucleotide ribosomal RNA is filed under the name uncultured bacterium. RNAcentral describes it as "partial 16S ribosomal RNA". The record is from RNAcentral.